Molecule: ribosomal RNA, 253 nt
Filed under: uncultured bacterium
Lineage: Bacteria
Description: partial 16S ribosomal RNA
Rfam family: Bacterial small subunit ribosomal RNA
Source: RNAcentral
UACGUAGGGAGCAAGCGUUGUCCGGAAUCAUUGGGCGUAAAGCGCGCGUAGGCGGCCCGAUAAGUCCGCUGUAAAAGUCAACGGCUCAACUGUUGAAAGCCGGUGGAUACUGUCGGGCUAGAGUACGGAAGAGGCAAGUGGAAUUCCUGGUGUAGCAGUGAAAUGCGUGGAUAUCGAGAAGAACACUUAGGGCGAAGGCAAGACUCUGGACAAAUGCUGACGCUCAUGCACGAAGGCUAGGGUAGCGAACGGG